Molecule: small nucleolar RNA, 98 nt
Organism: Rosa chinensis
Lineage: Eukaryota; Viridiplantae; Streptophyta; Magnoliopsida; Rosales; Rosaceae
Product: small nucleolar RNA R30/Z108
Exons: 1
Source: RefSeq, a predicted model, not a curated record
AAAGUUUGCUAUGAGGAUAACAAGCUCCCUCUUCUGAGUAUGGUUGAGGAAAAUUGUUGGCAGAAUCGAACCAAUAUACAAUCGCCACCACUGAGUCA